UUAAAUUGAAGAGUUUGAUCAUGGCUCAGAUUGAACGCUGGCGGCAGGCCUAACACAUGCAAGUCGAACGGUAACAGGAAGAAGCUUGCUUCUUUGCUGACGAGUGGCGGACGGGUGAGUAAUGUCUGGGAAGCUGCCUGAUGGAGGGGGAUAACUACUGGAA
Molecule: ribosomal RNA, 163 nt
Filed under: Escherichia coli
Lineage: Bacteria; Pseudomonadati; Pseudomonadota; Gammaproteobacteria; Enterobacterales; Enterobacteriaceae
Description: partial 16S ribosomal RNA
Rfam family: Bacterial small subunit ribosomal RNA
Source: RNAcentral